CUCACUGAUGAGCAGCUUCUGAC
This 23-nucleotide microRNA is filed under the name Cervus elaphus (red deer). Its description in RNAcentral is "cel-miR-677". The record is from RNAcentral. RNAcentral also lists the same sequence under 1 other name. Lineage: Eukaryota; Metazoa; Chordata; Mammalia; Artiodactyla; Cervidae.